Molecule: ribosomal RNA, 253 nt
Filed under: uncultured bacterium
Lineage: Bacteria
Description: partial 16S ribosomal RNA
Rfam family: Bacterial small subunit ribosomal RNA
Source: RNAcentral
UACGGAGGGUGCGAGCGUUGUUCGGAAUUAUUGGGCGUAAAGGGCGCGUAGGCGGCUUGUUGUGUCAAAGGUGAAAUCCCUCGGCUCAACUGAGGAACUGCCUUUGAAACUGUCUGGCUUGAGGCCGGGAGAGGGUAGCGGAAUUCCCAGUGUAGCGGUGAAAUGCGUAGAUAUUGGGAGGAACACCAGUGGCGAAGGCAGCCUUCUGGGCCAACACUGACGCUCAUGCACGAAAGCGUGGGGAGCAAACAGG